CAGAUAUGGUAGAAGGAAGAGUCUCACAGUGGUUUCCAAGUGUGGUCCCCGGACCUGCAGCAUCAACAUCACCUGGAAACCCAUUAGAAAAGCAAACCCAGCUGUGGGCCCAGCAAGUUGUAGUUUAACAAGCCCUUCAGGUGUAUACUUUGGGAGGUACACAGACCCACUGUAGCACCUUCAGAUGGUGAGAAGGAAGGCCAAUUAAAAGAAUGUCCAAAGAAAGGAGUACUCAUCAUGAGAUAAAACACCAGCAGAGGAAUGAAAGCUGCUUCAAACAGCUACAGGUGACAAAACUGAGGCUCAGAGGCCAAUGGCCUUGUUCAAGGUCACACGCCCACUAAAUGAGAGACCCGGAGACCUGGCAUCACACGUAAGUCUGUUUGCCUCCAAAGUCUGAGAUUUUUCCUGCCCCAUUCCCCAGGAACAAGUAUCUCAUUGCUUGGGCCAGCCUAACGCAGGCUGCCCCUCUGACCAACUCCUGCUAGAGCCCCUUCUCAUUCCUGUUCUGCGGUCAGGGAACAUAUUUCCUAGGGUGAGAAGACAGCCUGGAGCUACCCAUUCGACAAUUGCUCCUUUCAGU
RNAcentral lists this long non-coding RNA (583 nucleotides) under Homo sapiens (human). RNAcentral's name for it is "non-protein coding lnc-CADM1-4:2". The record is from RNAcentral. Lineage: Eukaryota; Metazoa; Chordata; Mammalia; Primates; Hominidae.